This 515-nucleotide ribosomal RNA is filed under the name uncultured bacterium. RNAcentral's name for it is "bacterial SSU rRNA". It matches the Rfam family "Bacterial small subunit ribosomal RNA", at positions 8 to 526 of the family's 1533-position model. The record is from RNAcentral.
AGAGUUUGAUCAUGGCUCAGGAUGAACGCUGGCGGCGUGCCUCAUGCAUGCAAGUCGAACGGGAACACUUUUAGUAGCAAUACUGAGGGUGUUCUAGUGGCGAUCGGGUGAGUAACACGUAGGUGACCUGCCCCGAAGAGGGGGAUAACGGUCCGAAAGGACUGCUAAUACCCCAUGUGGUUGAUGAUUCAUUUCGUCAAUUAAAGUUUCCGCAAGGAGUAUGCUUCGGGAGGGGCCUGCGGCGGAUUAGAUAGUUGGUGGGGUAAUGGCCUACCAAGUCGAUGAUCCGUAGCUAGUCUGAGAGGACGAUUAGCCACACUGGCACUGACACACGGGCCAGACUCCUACGGGAGGCAGCAGCAGGGAAUAUUGCACAAUGGGCGAAAGCCUGAUGCAGCAACGCCGCGUGAGGGAUGAAGGUCUUCGGAUUGUAAACCUCUUUUACAGGGGACGAGUAAGGACGGUACCCUGUGAAUAAGCAACGGCUAACUACGUGCCAGCCGCCGCGGUAAUAC